RNAcentral lists this ribosomal RNA (497 nucleotides) under uncultured bacterium. RNAcentral describes it as "partial 16S ribosomal RNA". It matches the Rfam family "Bacterial small subunit ribosomal RNA", at positions 28 to 507 of the family's 1533-position model. The record is from RNAcentral.
GAUGAACGCUGGCGGCGUGCCUAAUACAUGCAAGUCGAACGCAUAGCGAAAGGGGUUUGUUCUUUGCAAGUGGGUGGCGAACGGGUGAGUAACACGUGGAAAACUUGCUUCAAGGCUGGGGAUAACACGUGGAAACAGAUGUUAUUACGGAAUAAAAUUUAGAGCUGCUUGACAAAAAGUUAAAAGGCGCCUUGCCGUCACUUAGAGAUGGAUCCGCGCUGCAUUAGUUAGUUGGUGAGGUAAAGGCUUACCAAGACAAUGAUGCAUAGCCGAGUUGAGAGAGUGAUCGGCCACAUUGGAACUGAGACACGGCCCAGACUCCUACGGGAGGCUGCAGUAGGGAAUCUUCCACAAUGGGCGAAAGCCUGAUGGAGCAACGCCGCGUGAGUGAUGAAGGCUUUCGGAUCGUAAAACACUGUUGUAUGGGAAGAACAGCUGGAUUAGUAAAUGUGUUUAGUUUGACGGUACCAUAUCAGAAAGGGACGGCUAAAUACGUG